GACCUGGUGGUGGAAUGGUUACCGCACCUGCUUUGAUUGUGCACGUUCGAUGCUUCAGCAGGGGACCCCCGUUCGAUUCGGGGUCGGGUCA
Non-coding RNA from Mycena rosella, 91 nucleotides. NCBI's taxonomy places the organism in Eukaryota, Fungi, Basidiomycota, Agaricomycetes, Agaricales, Mycenaceae. The record is from the annotation of a GenBank genome assembly.